CUUGAGCCUACAGAAAUAGAUUUUUAUAGAAACUCUUCGCUCUCCCAAGUAAACACAACAAAUCCGAAUUUUAGGGUUUCUUUUCCUCAAAAAUUUGAUUUCCUCGUUACUUCUGUUUCAAUUUCGUUCUCUCCCAUCCUCCGUUUCAAAUCCAAAACUAGGGUUUUUUUAGCAAUGGCGACAGCGACAAGUCAGGGUCGUGAUCCGCUGUUCGUGUCUUCUUCCUUCUCCUCAUCAAAAUCUGAUCGAGCGGCAGCGAUAAGGAUUAGGUUUGCGGAUAUCAUUGUUAAGUCGAGUAGUAACAAGUCUGAGGCAAUGCUGAAGAUCAAAAGAGAAGAAAAAGCAAGAAUGAAACUCAGACAAGAGGCAAGGCUUGCGGUGCUGAAGGUGGAAGAAGAAGAAGCAAGAUCAGAUUGUAAGUAUGAAAAUCCUCUGUCUGUCGAAAAAGAACUGUUGAGUCUCAUUGGCGGUUCCCGUCGGGCAAGAGAUCGAUCUUUGCUUAAACAGUUUGGGUUGGUUUUAAAACCCGAUGUCGAUGAUGAUGUUCUUGAUGAUCUUGAGGAAGCUUUCAAAGUUGUUAAACGCAUUCGGAGUUUCUUAGUGUUCUUGGUUUCAUUAUACAUAUAACAAAUCUGAGGGAUGACAAACUCUUCUUGAUUGACCACCAUGUUGCUGUACAUGUUACAAGUGCUCAGGAAUACAUAUACGUGUUAAUUCAGGCCAAUGUUGACACAGGCAGACAAGUCAGGGCUGCUGUUAAAAAAAGACGAUUGAGAUGUGGUUCAAUUAGCACGGUUCUGUGUGAGAUAUAUCACUGUGACGAGUCUGAUAUUCCAAAGGAUGAUGUAGCAGUGAUGUUUCCAAGGGUUUUCCAGUCUAGCUCACCAUAUUGGGUCAGCUUUACAAGAUUUGGCGUCCAUGAGACACUACCAUGGCAUGUUCGGGUUGUUAAAGAAGCUGAACGGUGGGUUACAACAACGUUAGUUACCAUUGCUGUAAAUUUGUUCUUGCUGCAUCUGAGCCUCCAUGCUGUUUUUCACCAUUAUGAGAAAGUAUUGCUGAACUGGCUAAGUUAAGUCCUUGCUAUUGCUGAACUGGCUAAGUGAAGAGAGAAGUGAGAUGGCAGUUACAGAGCUGAAGAUUGGUGGAGUAUAAAUAGGGCUUGUUGCUUAUCGAUUGUUUAGAAUCUUAUCAUUGGGCUUGUUGAGUUUUCUCUUCAAGAAUGGCAGUUUCAAGAGCUUGUUCUUGAUCUUGAAGGAUUGUUUCCAUGAAUUUGGUGGAUUCGAUGUUGUUUUUUCUUGUUAAUCAGUCAUAUAUAG
RNA transcript from Raphanus sativus (radish), 1319 nucleotides. RefSeq lists it as uncharacterized. The transcript is spliced from 4 exons. The record is from RefSeq and is a predicted model, not a curated record. NCBI's taxonomy places the organism in Eukaryota, Viridiplantae, Streptophyta, Magnoliopsida, Brassicales, Brassicaceae.